This is a long non-coding RNA of Ictalurus punctatus (channel catfish), 2042 nucleotides long. NCBI's taxonomy places the organism in Eukaryota, Metazoa, Chordata, Actinopteri, Siluriformes, Ictaluridae. The record is from Ensembl.
CUCAGCAUUCACCUGAAUCAUGUGCUGCAGUUUACAGCAGUGAAAACACACACACACACACACACACACGACUAGAAGUUCACCUCAAACCUCCGGGAGAUCCAGGGGACCACGCAUCAAGCUUGCUUCCUGGAAAUGACAUGACGUUGCACAUCUUUUGGAGAUGCCACGCUCUAUGUUCUAACGUUCGUUAAUUAUUUCUCUCGAGGAAAUGAAAGCCAGCGCCUCGUUACGAUCGCUCGGGUUCAAAGGAUGUCAAAUAUACACGAGGAGCUCUUGCCGCGCUGUUUGGUCGCCGUGUCAUGGCUUCCUGCGUGCAAUAAUUUGUGAAAUUAGAGCAAUUUGCAGUGCCGAUUCCUAAUAACAUAUAAUUAUGUCUUUUUUUUUUUUUUUUUUUUGAACAGCCAGGCAAACAAAAGACUUUUUUUUACGGGGUGUAUAUUAGGUGUUUAACACUGAAAUGCGAGUCAAUACGAAUCCCAGGUGAUGGAACGUAGGAUCGGGGACCGGGCUGUUUAUCAUCAGCUGCUCUUUCUAAAACCUUAUUUCAUUUCACUUAUGAGAGGCCCGAGGAAGGCGCGCAAAGAUUAGAACGGAACGGAAUGAUACAAAAUCCCUGUUUAUUAGAUGUUCAAGCAAGUUUUCCUGUUAAGAAGUGAACCUAAACGAGCCUGAAAGCAUGACUGAGGUUAAGACGAUUUUUAGGUGUAAUAUGCCAUUAUUUAGUAUAGAAUUCAAUCUGUGCCAAAAGGUAUUGAACGUAACGUUUCAAGAAACGAGCAAAAAUAUACAAUGAGAGAGAAGAAAAACACUCGGAAACUGUGAACGGUCAACUCGGAGGCAAAAAUGUAACACGGUCCUCAAAUAAACAGCGUUCACUAAUCACUAAUCGUGGUUCGUUUACGCUCUGCAAGUUUACUUUCACCAUCCUGGCACAAACCUCUCGUGUGGGCGGGGCUUAAAAUGAUUUACUCUCAUUCGCUAGUGAGAUUUGGAUGGACAGCUCCCUGUCCAGGAAGUAGUGACGUGAAUUUCAGAGAGCGUUCUGGAUGCGGUUCCCUGUAUAGUUAUAGUGUUUGUACUUGGUAGUGGAAAUGAUUCACUUACUUAGUCAGUGUAUUAGUUGGUAAUUAAUAGUUGAGGUUUGAGUAAUCUCCUCGUCAUCCUCAUCUCCUCCUCUUUCUCCGCUGGACACCCGAGCUGGUGAUCCAAAUCUCACUAGCCAAUGAGAGGAAAUCGCCGUUAAGCCCCGCCCACAUGAUAAAUUGAUGCCAGAACGGCGAACGUAAACCCGUGUCGAGUAAACGUGAAGUGUAAAUGAAAACUCCGGCAGCUUUGAAACCCGUUAAACAAAGAACGCUGUUUAUUUGAGUCGACUGUUUACCGCUACCGAGUGUUUUCUUCUCUCUCAUUGUACGUUUUUGUUUGUUUCUUGAAACGUUACGUUCGAUUCUUUUGGCCCAGAUUUAAUGAUAUAAUAUAAGCUGCAUUAACAAUGACGUCGAUGAAGUUCCUUGUAAAGAUAGCAGAACCAGUGUGUGUGUGUGUGUGUGGAGAAUAAAUACGGAUGUAAACAGAUAAAGUAACGGGAAGCGGCACUGAGACUGAAAUACACAGGGUAGGUGUUGUGGGUGCCUCCAGAGACAACUACAUGAGCUAAGCGACAUAAAGUAUGCUUAUAGCCAUUAUACAUCUCUGAGCAGUAGCCUCGAGCUUUAAUCACUGUUCGGCUUCUUAGUGGAUACUGGCGAAGUUAAACGAUGGGAAGUUAACUCAUGUGACCUGCGUGCUGGAGGUAAGGAGAGAGAAAAAAAAAAACCACUAUACAAGAAUAACAAGUGAAUGAUUUUAAUCAGCUUUUUUUCUCCUUGAGAGCGAUACUUCUGAAAGCCUGCAAUUUCCUUGCUCCUCGUCCGGUGCCUCAAGCCGUGCAAGCAGCAGCGUUUUUUCUGGUCGGGGGUUAAGUGACAACGAAUCACACGCGACAAUAAUGCACACAAGCCGUUAUACAAUCACAAGUCAUUAUACUGGCGACGAGGGAU